Neopsephotus bourkii (Bourke's parrot) is the source of this 965-nucleotide long non-coding RNA. RefSeq lists it as uncharacterized. The record is from RefSeq and is a predicted model, not a curated record. The transcript is spliced from 2 exons. Lineage: Eukaryota; Metazoa; Chordata; Aves; Psittaciformes; Psittacidae.
UCAAAUGCUAGCAGAGAAACAAGCCAGCACAUCUGACUCCAGUCUCCUUCUGGUAGAGGACUUCUUUGUACCACACGUGCUAGGAAAGUGUAGGCAUCACCCUCACUGCUCCCACAGCUUCCGUUCCUGGGAGCUCUUUGGGGCAAAGGAUGGCAGAAUGGCAAAUGCUGAUGGCUGCAGCUCGUUCCUAAUCAGUUGCUGGGCCAUCUCCUCCAAUGUCCAAGACCACCAUAACGCACUGUGUGAGAAGAAAACACUAUGGAUUUGAAUGUGGCUGCCCCACUGAAACCAGGGGACAUCAGAGCUGGUGUCAAACAUGCACCGGUUGGUCUGUGCCACGGAGAGAUUUGUCCAUCCCCGCGGCUGAGCUGUGAAACGCCCUGGGGCGAACCAGCAGACAACAAAAGCUGAAGUCAAAGUACAAGAAUCUGGCACGCACUGAGGCCAGUGGGAAGGCUUUACAACUAUGUUUUAUACCCUGCAAGCGCUCUUGCUUUCUGCUCUGUUCAGCACUCCCUUGGCUCCCCAGCACACGUGGUGCACGGAGCAGUGUGCCAAUAGACUCUCUCCAGCCCAGCUGAAAUAUUAUUUCCAAGUUGGCUACAAGGAUUGUUUUAUUUUUCUUAUGUGUUUUUUCAUCUUUUCUCCUGCAGGUGCUGAGAAAAUGCAGUAUUUCCCUAUAGGAACCUUCUAUGUCCACGUUGGUCCUCUCAUGGUGAAGGGACAACGUGGCAAUCGGAGAAUAUCCCUUUCCUCUACAGACAUCCCCUCUGCAAUGUGCUGGAGAAUGCUGCAUCCUCAAGGAUGCCUCCUGCAGCUCAGCUGUGCUGUUUAGAUGACUGAACAUGGGCAGAGGAAGGAGCCACCGGGAAAUGGCUUUUCUUGGUGGACAAAUGGUAACGUCACAUCUAGGCAUGAUGAGUCCACGUGAAAUCGGAAUAAACUGGCAAAAUACUUCGUUUUGA